CCUCUGUUCCCAGUAAUUCCUGCUGAACAAAGCUCCAUACAAAAGUGCACCCCUUGAUAGCUCCAUCAGAUUUACAGCCUUCUUCUAGCAGAACCAGGCCAGGAUGGAGCAGCCCUGGGCAUUGCCUUGCUCAGCUCCCCCAGAGCUGCUGAGCACCUCCAAGCAAUCUAAGCAGCUGCUGAAGCCUGAGUUGCAUUUCCUAGGAAAUUCUAAGGACCCCGUGAGUCCACCUUACAUCCUGCAAGCAUGGAGGGAUGGCUCUUCAAGGACUAGACAGGAAGAAAAAGAAGCAAACAGGACUGACAGCUAAGGUGAAAGCCUUUGCCAAUGCCUCAAACAAAGCCAGGACACUUCAGCAGAACAGUCUCACCCCUACGAUCUGCUCAUCUGCUUCACCUUUAUUAUCCUGCAACAAUCUGUUCUGAUAACAAGAUGAUGUUCCUUCUCCCCUCCUUUGAGACUAUUAUCCUGAAUGGGGGAAAGGCUCACAUACUGCAUGCUUUAUUCUUUAACAGGAGCCUUCCCACAGUCAAGACCAGCCUUCUGCAGAAUAAACAGCAGUUAAGAGCUUUCUGUAUCUGCUUUCAGCAUCAUAGAUGCUAUUACUAACAGAACAGCACUUGGAAGGAGUGAAGUGCUCCAGAAGUGCUUAUCUUUAUGACCUACUGCUAGCAGAGAACUCAGCUCAUUAUUGUUAUCUUAAAUUAUUUUUAUAUUUAAAAAAAAACUUCUUCCAUUGUUUAGAUCCCUAGAACUCUGGUUUGUUCAGGGUGGCAGGUUUCUUGUUAGCUUGUUCCCAAUAACCUGAAAAAG
Gallus gallus (chicken) is the source of this 813-nucleotide long non-coding RNA. The record is from Ensembl. NCBI's taxonomy places the organism in Eukaryota, Metazoa, Chordata, Aves, Galliformes, Phasianidae.